RNAcentral lists this ribosomal RNA (212 nucleotides) under uncultured bacterium. RNAcentral describes it as "partial 16S ribosomal RNA". It matches the Rfam family "Bacterial small subunit ribosomal RNA", at positions 524 to 734 of the family's 1533-position model. The record is from RNAcentral.
UACGGGGGGGGUAAGCGUUGUUCGGAAUUACUGGGCGUAAAGGGCUCGUAGGCGGCCAACUAAGUCGGACGUGAAAUCCCUCAGCUUAACUGGGGAACUGCGUCCGAUACUGGAUGGCUUGGAUUUGGGAGAGGGAUGCGGAAUUCCAGGUGUAGCGGUGAAAUGCGUAGAUAAUCUGGAGGAACACCGGUGGCGAAGGCGGCAUCCUGGAC